GGGGCUAUAGCUCAGUGGUAGAGUGCUUGCCUUGCAUGUGUGAGGCACUGGGUUCAAUCCUUGGCACCA
RNAcentral lists this transfer RNA (69 nucleotides) under Ictidomys tridecemlineatus (thirteen-lined ground squirrel). RNAcentral's name for it is "Spermophilus tridecemlineatus (thirteen-lined ground squirrel) tRNA". It matches the Rfam family "tRNA". Rfam says of the family: Transfer RNA (tRNA) molecules are approximately 80 nucleotides in length. Their secondary structure includes four short double-helical elements and three loops (D, anti-codon, and T loops). Further hydrogen bonds mediate the characteristic L-shaped molecular structure. tRNAs have two regions of fundamental functional importance: the anti-codon, which is responsible for specific mRNA codon recognition, and the 3' end, to which the tRNAs corresponding amino acid is attached (by aminoacyl-tRNA synthetases). tRNAs cope with the degeneracy of the genetic code in two manners: having more than one tRNA (with a specific anti-codon) for a particular amino acid; and 'wobble' base-pairing, i.e. permitting non-standard base-pairing at the 3rd anti-codon position. Lineage: Eukaryota; Metazoa; Chordata; Mammalia; Rodentia; Sciuridae. The record is from Rfam by way of RNAcentral.